RNAcentral lists this ribosomal RNA (836 nucleotides) under uncultured Pseudomonadota bacterium. RNAcentral's name for it is "bacterial SSU rRNA". It matches the Rfam family "Bacterial small subunit ribosomal RNA", at positions 27 to 857 of the family's 1533-position model. Lineage: Bacteria; Pseudomonadati; Pseudomonadota. The record is from RNAcentral.
GAUUGAACGCUGGCGGCAGGCUUAACACAUGCAAGUCGAGCGGAGAUGAGGUGCUUGCACCUUAUCUUAGCGGCGGACGGGUGAGUAAUGCUUAGGAAUCUGCCUAUUAGUGGGGGACAACAUUCCGAAAGGAAUGCUAAUACCGCAUACGCCCUACGGGGGAAAGCAGGGGAUCUUCGGACCUUGCGCUAAUAGAUGAGCCUAAGUCGGAUUAGCUAGUUGGUGGGGUAAAGGCCUACCAAGGCGACGAUCUGUAGCGGGUCUGAGAGGAUGAUCCGCCACACUGGGACUGAGACACGGCCCAGACUCCUACGGGAGGCAGCAGUGGGGAAUAUUGGACAAUGGGCGGAAGCCUGAUCCAGCCAUGCCGCGUGUGUGAAGAAGGCCUUUUGGUUGUAAAGCACUUUAAGCGAGGAGGAGGCUACUUAGAUUAAUACUCUAGGAUAGUGGACGUUACUCGCAGAAUAAGCACCGGCUAACUCUGUGCCAGCAGCCGCGGUAAUACAGAGGGUGCGAGCGUUAAUCGGAUUUACUGGGCGUAAAGCGUGCGUAGGCGGCUGAUUAAGUCGGAUGUGAAAUCCCUGAGCUUAACUUAGGAAUUGCAUUCGAUACUGGUCAGCUAGAGUAUGGGAGAGGAUGGUAGAAUUCCAGGUGUAGCGGUGAAAUGCGUAGAGAUCUGGAGGAAUACCGAUGGCGAAGGCAGCCAUCUGGCCUAAUACUGACGCUGAGGUACGAAAGCAUGGGGAGCAAACAGGAUUAGAUACCCUGGUAGUCCAUGCCGUAAACGAUGUCUACUAGCCGUUGGGGCCUUUGAGGCUUUAGUGGCGCAGCUAACG